Molecule: long non-coding RNA, 627 nt
Organism: Biomphalaria glabrata
Lineage: Eukaryota; Metazoa; Mollusca; Gastropoda; Planorbidae
Exons: 3
Source: RefSeq, a predicted model, not a curated record
CAAGUAGUGGGAAUCUUUUGAGAGAUAGAAGUGCGAUUAGAAUAAUUAUGACCGUGCCGCUGAUAACUUAUCAUCAAAGGCCAAGCUGUGGUGAAAGUACGACCAUGUUUCACUUUAUUUGAUUUUUCAAUCGCUCUUUCUUGAAAAUGGGCGAGUCAUUUUUAGCCUUGUAAUAAGGUUUAAUUUUUUUCUAGUAAAGGCGGACUUCCUUUUAAACAUUAAAGUUACAAAUUGUGUUAUUGUUCUUUAUUUCUAUCGAUAUUUCAUUUCUACAUGUAUAUAUCUGUCACUCUAGUUGGAGAGAAAGAAAAAUUCUGAAAGAAGUUGUCAAACAAGCAAAGACACCUUUGAAGACAAGAAUAAUACCACAAGUUAACAAGGGCGUCAUGUUGCCAGCACAAUGACCAACUGCCUUUACUUUCCCAAACUAAUGUUGGGUUGACUCAGAGGGUAUCCUAAAAAUUCAUUAUACAGGCCUUCAGCGAGAUUUGAAGCAGAGACACCUCAAUUCAGAAGUGAAAGGUUCUACCACUCAGCCACCAUAUUACAUAUUUGUCAAAAUGAUUGAAUGUGCACACAAGUCAUUUCAUUGUGUCUAUUCUUCACUAAAGUGUUUGUACCUGUCAU